RNAcentral lists this ribosomal RNA (358 nucleotides) under uncultured bacterium. Its description in RNAcentral is "bacterial SSU rRNA". It matches the Rfam family "Bacterial small subunit ribosomal RNA", at positions 29 to 414 of the family's 1533-position model. The record is from RNAcentral.
AACGAACGCUGGCGGCAGGCCUAACACAUGCAAGUCGAACGCCGUAGCAAUACGGAGUGGCAGACGGGUGAGUAACACGUGGGAACGUACCCUUCGGUUCGGAAUAACUCAGGGAAACUUGAGCUAAUACCGGAUACGUCCGAGAGGAGAAAGAUUUAUCGCCGAGGGAUCGGCCCGCGUCUGAUUAGCUUGUUGGUGAGGUAACGGCUCACCAAGGCGACGAUCAGUAGCUGGUCGAGAGGAUGAUCAGCCACAUUGGGACUGAGACACGGCCCAAACUCCUACGGGAGGCAGCAGUGGGGAAUAUUGGACAAGUGGGCGCAAGCCUGAUCCAGCCAUGCCGCGUGAGUGAUGAAGG